UGUUAAAAAUUUUAUUGAUUUGUACUGUUCUAAAUUGUUGUGGUUGAUUAAAUAAUUAAACAGUGACAUGUGACGUGUUAUGUGGAUUUUAUGUUGAUGUAUAAAUAUUAACUUUUAACAGUAAAAAUUGAUGAAAUUUUUAAGA
Gossypium raimondii (Peruvian cotton) is the source of this 145-nucleotide non-coding RNA. Lineage: Eukaryota; Viridiplantae; Streptophyta; Magnoliopsida; Malvales; Malvaceae. The record is from Rfam.